Molecule: ribosomal RNA, 433 nt
Filed under: uncultured bacterium
Lineage: Bacteria
Description: partial 16S ribosomal RNA
Rfam family: Bacterial small subunit ribosomal RNA
Source: RNAcentral
AACGAACGCUGGCGGCAUGCCUAACACAUGCAAGUCGAACGAGACCUUCGGGUCUAGUGGCGCACGGGUGCGUAACGCGUGGGAACCUGCCCUUAGGUUCGGAAUAACUCCCCGAAAGGGGUGCUAAUACCGGAUAAUGUCUUCGGACCAAAGAUUUAUCGCCUUUGGAUGGGCCCGCGUUGGAUUAGCGAGUUGGUAGGGUAAAAGCCUACCAAGGCGACGAUCCAUAGCUGGUCUGGGAGGAUGAUCAGCCACACUGGGACUGAGACACGGCCCAGACUCCUACGGGAGGCAGCAGUGGGGAAUAUUGGACAAUGGGCGAAAGCCUGAUCCAGCAAUGCCGCGGGAGUGAUGAAGGCCUUAGGGUUGUAAAGCUCUUUUACCCGGGAUGAUAAUGACAGUACCGGGAGAAUAAGCUCCGGCUAACUCCGUG